GUCCAAAGAGAAGGUUUAUGGAGGUGCUGAGGGAGGACAUGCAGGUGGUUGGUGUGACAGAGGAAGAUACAGAGGACAGGGUGAGAUGGAAAAGAGUAAUAUGCCGUGGAAACUCCUAACGGGAGCAACCAAAAGAAGAAGUAGAAGAAGAAUAAGU
This is a long non-coding RNA of Thalassophryne amazonica, 157 nucleotides long. RefSeq lists it as uncharacterized. Lineage: Eukaryota; Metazoa; Chordata; Actinopteri; Batrachoidiformes; Batrachoididae. The transcript has 3 exons. The record is from RefSeq and is a predicted model, not a curated record.